Molecule: long non-coding RNA, 542 nt
Organism: Nicotiana attenuata
Lineage: Eukaryota; Viridiplantae; Streptophyta; Magnoliopsida; Solanales; Solanaceae
Exons: 2
Source: RefSeq, a predicted model, not a curated record
GAUACUCGUACAAAAACGUCAUAAAGCUGAAAUAUUAAUCCUAGCAUGGCGAUAUUUAAGCUUAGUUUCGUUAUCACUAUUCUUAUCAUUGCAGUCACUAUCAAUGUGUCGGGAUUUUCAAAUAAUCAAGUCGAAGCAACACCAGAUGUUGACCAUGUUCUUUCAGAAUUUACGAAGAGAUUGCUCCCACAACUGAAUACUUGUUUUAGAUCUUGUACUUCGAACAGUGAUUGCAGUGAUUGUUGGGUUUGUUGUGCUUGUAAAUACGCGGUGCUAGGUGGCUACAUGUGUGAUUUGAAUUAGUGUCGAAUGGCAAACGCUCUCCUAUUAUGUGCAUUAGUGUGUUCUUGUGAUUUUAACGUUUUUAUUUGUCUUUUUCUCAUUUCUUUGUCUUUUGUGCUUUGUAAAAGUAAUAAAAGAAGUCAUGAAUGACUUUCUAUAUCGAUACAAUAAUCGAUAAAUGUAUCUUUUGUACGUUGUAAAAGUAAUACAAAAUGUUUAUCGCAUAUGUGUAACCUACGUAAGGUUCUUCUUCUUGUUCA